RNAcentral lists this non-coding RNA (19 nucleotides) under Arabidopsis thaliana (thale cress). Lineage: Eukaryota; Viridiplantae; Streptophyta; Magnoliopsida; Brassicales; Brassicaceae. The record is from RNAcentral.
ACAGAGGCAGCUAAUGAGG